RNAcentral lists this ribosomal RNA (266 nucleotides) under uncultured bacterium. Its description in RNAcentral is "partial 16S ribosomal RNA". It matches the Rfam family "Bacterial small subunit ribosomal RNA", at positions 334 to 616 of the family's 1533-position model. The record is from RNAcentral.
CACACCUACGGGGCGCAGCAGUGGGGAAUAUUGCACAAUGGGGGAAACCCUGAUGCAGCGACGCCGCGUGGGCGAGGAAGUACCUCGGUAUGUAAAGCCCUAUCAGCAGGGAAGCAACAGGACAGUACCUGACUAAGAAGCCUCGGCUAACUACGUGCCAGCAGCCGCGGUAAUACGUAGGGGGCAAGCGUUAUCCGGAUUCACUGGGCGUAAAGGGAGCGCAGGCGGCAUGACAAGUCUGUUGUGCAAACCCGGGGCCCAACACC